This 69-nucleotide transfer RNA is filed under the name Hygrotus nigrolineatus. RNAcentral describes it as "tRNA-Gln". The record is from RNAcentral. Lineage: Eukaryota; Metazoa; Arthropoda; Insecta; Coleoptera; Dytiscidae.
UAUAUUUUAGUAUAUGAUGUAUAAAAGCUUUUGAGGCUUAAGGGAGUAGUUUGAUUCUAUUAAAUAUAA